GACGGUCAAGCGCAGCGCGUGUAGAGGUCUCCGCAAGGAGGCAGCCCUGAAUGGGUGGGAUCCUUGAAGCUGGGGGCCGUCGCCAA
Molecule: small RNA, 86 nt
Filed under: Mitsuaria sp. 7
Lineage: Bacteria; Pseudomonadati; Pseudomonadota; Betaproteobacteria; Burkholderiales; Sphaerotilaceae
Description: DUF3800-VII RNA
Rfam family: DUF3800-VII RNA
Source: Rfam by way of RNAcentral